CCUUUUGUAUAAUGGGUCAGCGACUUAUAUUCUGUAGCAAGGUUAACCGAAUAGGGGAGCCGAAGGGAAACCGAGUCUUAACUGGGCGUUAAGUUGCAGGGUAUAGACCCGAAACCCGGUGAUCUAGCCAUGGGCAGGUUGAAGGUUGGGUAACACUAACUGGAGGACCGAACCGACUAAUGUUGAAAAAUUAGCGGAUGACUUGUGGCUGGGGGUGAAAGGCCAAUCAAACCGGGAGAUAGCUGGUUCUCCCCGAAAGCUAUUUAGGUAGCGCCUCGUGAACUCAUCUCCGGGGGUAGAGCACUGUUUCGGCAAGGGGGUCAUCCCGACUUACCAACCCGAUGCAAACUGCGAAUACCGGAGAAUGUUAUCACGGGAGACACACGGCGGGUGCUAACGUCCGUCGUGAAGAGGGAAACAACCCAGACCGCCAGCUAAGGUCCCAAAGUCAUGGUUAAGUGGGAAACGAUGUGGGAAGGCCCAGACAGCCAGGAUGUUGGCUUAGAAGCAGCCAUCAUUUAAAGAAAGCGUAAUAGCUCACUGGUCGAGUCGGCCUGCGCGGAAGAUGUAACGGGGCUAAACCAUGCACCGAAGCUGCGGCAGCGACGCUUAUGCGUUGUUGGGUAGGGGAGCGUUCUGUAAGCCUGUGAAGGUGUGCUGUGAGGCAUGCUGGAGGUAUCAGAAGUGCGAAUGCUGACAUAAGUAACGAUAAAGCGGGUGAAAAGCCCGCUCGCCGGAAGACCAAGGGUUCCUGUCCAACGUUAAUCGGGGCAGGGUGAGUCGACCCCUAAGGCGAGGCCGAAAGGCGUAGUCGAUGGGAAACAGGUUAAUAUUCCUGUACUUGGUGUUACUGCGAAGGGGGGACGGAGAAGGCUAUGUUGGCCGGGCGACGGUUGUCCCGGUUUAAGCGUGUAGGCUGGUUUUCCAGGCAAAUCCGGAAAAUCAAGGCUGAGGCGUGAUGACGAGGCACUACGGUGCUGAAGCAACAAAUGCCCUGCUUCCAGGAAAAGCCUCUAAGCAUCAGGUAACAUCAAAUCGUACCCCAAACCGACACAGGUGGUCAGGUAGAGAAUACCAAGGCGCUUGAGAGAACUCGGGUGAAGGAACUAGGCAAAAUGGUGCCGUAACUUCGGGAGAAGGCACGCUGAUAUGUAGGUGAAGUCCCUUGCGGAUGGAGCUGAAAUCAGUCGAAGAUACCAGCUGGCUGCAACUGUUUAUUAAAAACACAGCACUGUGCAAACACGAAAGUGGACGUAUACGGUGUGACGCCUGCCCGGUGCCGGAAGGUUAAUUGAUGGGGUCAGCGCAAGCGAAGCUCUUGAUCGAAGCCCCGGUAAACGGCGGCCGUAACUAUAACGGUCCUAAGGUAGCGAAAUUCCUUGUCGGGUAAGUUCCGACCUGCACGAAUGGCGUAAUGAUGGCCAGGCUGUCUCCACCCGAGACUCAGUGAAAUUGAACUCGCUGUGAAGAUGCAGUGUACCCGCGGCAAGACGGAAAGACCCCGUGAACCUUUACUAUAGCUUGACACUGAACAUUGAGCCUUGAUGUGUAGGAUAGGUGGGAGGCUUUGAAGUGUGGACGCCAGUCUGCAUGGAGCCGACCUUGAAAUACCACCCUUUAAUGUUUGAUGUUCUAACGUUGACCCGUAAUCCGGGUUGCGGACAGUGUCUGGUGGGUAGUUUGACUGGGGCGGUCUCCUCCUAAAGAGUAACGGAGGAGCACGAAGGUUGGCUAAUCCUGGUCGGACAUCAGGAGGUUAGUGCAAUGGCAUAAGCCAGCUUGACUGCGAGCGUGACGGCGCGAGCAGGUGCGAAAGCAGGUCAUAGUGAUCCGGUGGUUCUGAAUGGAAGGGCCAUCGCUCAACGGAUAAAAGGUACUCCGGGGAUAACAGGCUGAUACCGCCCAAGAGUUCAUAUCGACGGCGGUGUUUGGCACCUCGAUGUCGGCUCAUCACAUCCUGGGGCUGAAGUAGGUCCCAAGGGUAUGGCUGUUCGCCAUUUAAAGUGGUACGCGAGCUGGGUUUAGAACGUCGUGAGACAGUUCGGUCCCUAUCUGCCGUGGGCGCUGGAGAACUGAGGGGGGCUGCUCCUAGUACGAGAGGACCGGAGUGGACGCAUCACUGGUGUUCGGGUUGUCAUGCCAAUGGCACUGCCCGGUAGCUAAAUGCGGAAGAGAUAAGUGCUGAAAGCAUCUAAGCACGAAACUUGCC
This 2209-nucleotide ribosomal RNA is filed under the name Escherichia coli. Its description in RNAcentral is "partial 23S ribosomal RNA". It matches the Rfam family "Bacterial large subunit ribosomal RNA", at positions 604 to 2798 of the family's 2925-position model. Lineage: Bacteria; Pseudomonadati; Pseudomonadota; Gammaproteobacteria; Enterobacterales; Enterobacteriaceae. The record is from RNAcentral. RNAcentral also lists the same sequence under 1 other name.